This 82-nucleotide transfer RNA is filed under the name bacterium. RNAcentral describes it as "tRNA-Leu". It matches the Rfam family "tRNA". Rfam says of the family: Transfer RNA (tRNA) molecules are approximately 80 nucleotides in length. The record is from RNAcentral.
GCAUCGUUGGCCGAGUGGUCUAAGGCGCCACACUUAAGAUGUGGUAUCUUCGGAUGCGUGGGUUCGAACCCCACACGAUGCA